CUUGUCAUAGACGAUCUUUGGCCGUGACGCGGCUGCUGUCAUUAAGGGAAACUACGCUAGCAUCUUCUUUUUUUCGGAUGAGAUAUCGACGCUUCGCAAUGACUAAUGGCCCACCUAUACCUUUGUAAAUCACCAUCGUCUGACACCUGUAGUCUGGCUAGUGGGAGAUGAGACACUGUUGUGCAAGGACCCAUCAUGAGUAUCCAGAGCCUAGGAGGAGCAUUAGGGGAGUCCCUGGGCUCUAGCCUUACAGUACGCAUGAGUGGGGCAGGUGGUGGGCGGAGUUCUUUCGCCUUAAAAUCGUCAAGUCGGAUCACUUCGCUUCUCCAAACAAUGGUGCCAACUGGGUACAACAAACUCCAGGAGGAGCGUCUGGCUAUGGUGGACCUCGGAGCUAAACCUGAGGCGACCUCGCUCCAGAACGGCUACAGACAAGAAGCACCGCCUCACCUAGAAAGCCGACGGCUGCUGGACCGCGCAUCUCGGUCCUCUGUGACUUUAUCAGACUCUGGAGAUGGGAGCUACUCAGAAAUGGUGCCCAUGUUGGCAGAGAGGAGACUGUCUGGAGAGGAGGCUGAUGAGGAUGAAGAUGAGGAGGAGGAAAGACUGGAAGCGCCGGUGCAUAUCCUGCCCAAGGAGUCGCCUCUUGCUAUGGCUUUGCAGAUCAUCGUGCCUUUCCUGCUGGCUGGCUUUGGAACUGUAUCAGCUGGCAUGGUGCUGGACAUUGUGCAGCACUGGGAGGCGUUCCAGUACAUCACAGAGAUUUUCAUCCUGGUUCCGGCUCUGCUUGGCCUCAAGGGCAACCUGGAGAUGACGCUUGCCUCACGCCUCUCCACGGCGGUGAAUGUGGGCAAGAUGGAUUCUCCAAUAGAGAAGUGGAAUUUAAUAAUAGGCAACCUGGCGCUCAAGCAGGUUCAGGCCACUGUGGUGGGUUUCAUGGCAGCUGUUGCAGCUGUGGUUCUUGGCUGGAUCCCAGAGGGGAAGUUCCAGAUGAGCCACGCCGUGCUGCUGUGCUCCAGCAGUGUAGCCACGGCUUUCAUCGCCUCCAUGCUGCAGGGUUUCAUUAUGGUGGGCGUGAUUGUGGGUUCCAAGAAGACAGGCAUUAACCCGGACAACGUUGCCACACCUAUUGCAGCUAGUUUUGGUGACCUCAUAACCUUGGCCAUCCUGGCUUGGAUAAGCCAAGGCCUCUACAAGUGCCUAGAUACCUACCCAUAUGUGUCAUCCGUGGUCUGUGCCUUCUUCAUGUGUCUGACCCCUUUGUGGAUGGUCGUCUCCUCCAAGCACCCGGCCAGCCGCACCCUGCUGUACUCCGGAUGGGAGCCUGUCAUCACUGCCAUGGUCAUCAGCAGCAUCGGAGGACUCAUCCUGGACAAGACGGUGUCUGACCCCAAUCUGGCUGGAAUUGUUGUGUACACUCCGGUAAUCAAUGGUAUCGGGGGUAACUUGGUGGCGAUUCAAUCCAGCCGGUUUUCCACUUGCCUGCACUUCCACUGCGCCCCUGGGGAAGUUCCUGAUGAGGUCAAGGGCUGUUACUACCCUUGUCGCACGUUCUGUGGCACAGGAGCCAAUCACAGAUCUGCUCAGGUUCUUCUUCUUUUGGUGAUCCCCGGUCAUGUCAUUUUCCUCUACACCAUUCACCUGAUGAAGAGCGGGCACACUACCCUGACACCUAUCUUUAUGUCUGUCUACCUGGCUGCUGCACUGCUGCAGGUGUUGCUGCUGUUGUGCAUAGCUGACUGGAUGGUACAUUCCAUGUGGCGGAGCGGCAAAGACCCGGACAGUUUUUCCAUUCCCUACCUGACGGCUCUGGGGGACCUGCUGGGCACCGCCUUGCUGGCGCUCAGCUUCCACUUCCUGUGGCUCAUCGGCGACCAGGACAGUGAUGUAGGCGACUGAAAGCGAGGCCUGACGCCAUCUGACUUCUGGUACCCUGAUGCCUUGUGGGGGACAAGGUUCUUUGCUUUUUUUACUCUCCAUGAACAAGACGCAACGCUAUUCCAGACUUUUUCCAUGAAGACCUUUGCACCUUUUGCACCAAAGCAUUUCCUUUCCAUGAGGAGAUCUGUUGGAACUAUCAGUCAAAGGUUCCCUAUUUCACAGGAAUCAUUGAUGGCUUGUCCUCAUUUUUGGAGUUUCUACCUGCCUUGUUGGAGCGUCAAAGUUAGAUGUAAAGGUCAGAAUUUCCAAAUAAGAUGAUAAUUCUCGCUGAUAUUUUAGUCAGGAGAUUACUAAUGAGACACAUGGCGAUGCUGAUUAGCCUACAAUUUAAUUCACAUUGAAUUGAAUCAUGUUUGGUCUAAAGAAAGGGUUUCCAAAGUGCGGCCUAUGGGCCAUUUGCAGCCCACAGCUCGUUUAUCAUUGGCCGGUAUACUAAAGGUACAACUAAACAUGACAUCACAGAAAGUUUCAAUGUUAAGAGUUAUAAUACUUAUAAUAAUACGCUUUGUUACCUAUAACACAUAUUACAUGCGUUGGUUUUAGUUUGUUUAAUACAUUUAAAAUAUCAAAAUGGUGUCUGAAUCCCUUGAAUUCAGUAUGUGCUCCUCCGUGGAAAAGGUUUGGACACCACUGCCCUAAGGCCUCAUUCGUCACCUCUUUGUAUUCAUUACAAACCUUUUAUUGUCUACAGUGCAGCAAAUGGGAUGAAGGCCUUGAACUGCCUCGUAUUUUUUCAUUUGCCAUGUUGCUUCUACCGAGGUAAAAAAAAAAAAAAAAAAAAGGGAACAGAAGCACCUUAAAUUGUCAAAUUAUAGCCAGGGUGUUCAGUUCCUUAAACGGCAUUAUUCAUUGGAAUUGGGUGAUGAUUGGAGAGAGGCAUUUCAAAACUCAGCAUAUUUAACAACUUCAUUUUUUAAACUUGGAUAAUGAUUUGCAUUGCAGGGAAAAGUGGAAAGGGACACUUAGCUCUCUUUAUUUGACUUACUAACAAGUAUAUUACACAACACAGCAAAAACAGAAUCAGUGUUACACGCAUGACAGCUGAGUAGCGCAAGUGACAUUUUCUAGCGCCUGCAGAGGUAGAUAAAGCUGCUCAUGAGACUUCAAAUGCAGGUACUCCUGUCUUGAGGACCAGCUAACCCGACUGUUAUUUGCUUUUUUAGUACUAUAGGAUUUGAAUUGAAUUGAACAUUAUUAUUAUUAUUAUUAUUAUUAUUAUUAUUAUUAUUGAACAUUUACAGCGGUGGUUCUCAACUGGUUUAGUUGCGGGACCCACCAUCCAAAUUCCCAAAUUAUGAAAUUUUUUAAAACUCAAACCUCUCAAAUAUCUUCUAUUUGAAGGGACUAUUUGCAACACGCCGUGAGCUGCAGCGGUGAGAUGCUGUCCUCUCUUCAUGGUGCGCUCUUCUCCAGCAGAUAUCUGCAGCUGUGUGUCAGUAGGGACCCGCUCGAUGACUUUCCCCUCCUGCUCAAGCUUGACAACGUUGUAAAUAGCACAGAGACGCAUUCGUGGAUAUCAGGUCACUACAUUUUUUUCAUUUGAAAACGGCUUCACCACCCACUUUUGGGUCCCAACCCACCAGUUGAGAAUCACCGAUUUACAGUAUUUAGUUUUGUUACUAAUCAUAUAUUUUAAACUCUUUUCAGCAUCUCUAAGUGGGUUUGGGGAGGGUGCCAAUCGAGAGAUUAUAACGCAUUUGACUAAAAGUAAUACUUUAUGGGUGUAAAUUAUUCCACAAUAGACACCUUUAGAGGUGGGCUAGUCUGUUUCUGUACUCUGACUUAACACACCAGCAUACACCCAGCGUUACAUGCAGGCAGUAUUUCUCCACUGUGUGGAUGUGGCUUGUGAUAUACAAAAAUUGUUGGUCUGCACUGUACUUCUCUGAGCAAUCAAGUGAGAUGUUUGAUGAAUGCAGUACAGGAUUGGUCAUUGUGGCACACAUUAAGUGGAUUGUUUACACAUGCAUUGUGAUGACAUGCAUGCAGUUCUCAUUUCCAUGUCAGCAUGAUGUGAUCAGACUGAAAUGUCAGUGUUAGCGUUGCUAUAUUCUUGCUCUACGGUGCGCUUUGUACAGUAUGUCUCAUUCAAGUUAAGUGUUGUGUGUGUGACGGGGACAGCAAGCAGUACUUCUCUUCAAUUCCAAUAUGUGCCUCUUGAGACUGACUGGUUGACAAGGUGUUUUUGCCAUGAUGUGAAUUUAUUUUCUUCCAUUUUUUUUUUCUUCUUUCAGUCCCAAGUGUUGUUCGUUUCAUGCUAGAGCUGGCAAAGCUACCGACAAAGUAGCAGAUGUCACUAUAUGGUGGAUGCACGGUCUGUGCCACAUCCUCCUCAUGCAUAUUUCAUCUCUCCGACGGCUGGCAGUCAACCUGAUGGCGACCUCUGACCCCACCUACGCACUACCACCGCCAGCGUCCUCUGUCUUUUACACCGACAGUAUCUGAAAUGUGGAAGGGGGAAGAUGGAUGGAGGUAGUGCAGAGGACAGAUGAGUCAGCCUGUACGAGGUGCUCGGUAAAACGCCAGUCGAUUUGUCUUUAUGUGGGUGGUCCUCAUUGGCAUUCAGCUACGCUGCCAGAAGGAACAACAGUGUUACAGUAAUACAAAAGUAUCGGGACACCUGACCCAUACACCAACUUGCUUCCAAGUCUGCGAUGUGUGAGAAACACUUGUUACGCCACCUUUUAACUACAGUGAAAUACAGACGAGCAUUUUGGGUCCUAUCAUGGGUGGAAUGUCACUCAGUAUAGCAUAGGCUGGGGGGGGCCAAAGCAGGGCCGUUUUCGUCCCACGCCUCAUUUUUGGUGGCCCUCGGCAUAUUGUAAAACUAAAAUGAAUUCAGGGUGUUACACACCUGGACACCAAGGGUGUUUACCUUUUAUAUUUCACUUUCAAAACUGCUUUUUUCACUACAGCCUAACAACCGAGCUACAAGCUAACACAUGUUGUCCAAAGUGAGGCCCGGGGGCCAUUUAUGGCCCGUGACUGCUUUUUUUUUUUUUUCUUACUGGCCAUCGGCACAUUCUAAAAAUAGGAUUUAAACAAUAAAAUGUAAAAAAACAACAGCAAAAAUGGGGAAAAAAAGCAGUAUUUUUACAAGAAUAAAGACAAAAGGUUAAGGUAGUAAAGUCAUUAGAUUAAUAGAAAAAAGUUGAAAUAUUAUAGGAAAAAAGUUGUAAUAUAAGAAACAAACCAAAGAAUGAAGUUGAAAUUAAUUAGGAAUUAAUUAAUUAAGAAAUUAUGGGGUUAAUGCUGUAAUGCUAUGAUAAUAAAGUCAAAAUAUUAAGAGACUAAGUCAUAUUAGUAUGAGGGAAAAAACGUAGGAUAUAUAAUGUUGAUAUAUUUGUAAAAUUAAAAAAAAAAGGAGAAACAGUUCAAAAUAAUAAUAUCACUGAUAAAAUGAAUACAUUUACUUUAUAUGUGUAAAUAUAUUUAUACAUUAUAUUUUAUAUAAUGUAUAAAUAUUAUGUAUUUAUUUUUUAUAAUAUUUUUUUUGGGUUGGUUUAAAAAAAAAAAGUAAAAACAGCCCCCGCAUCUUGAUUUUUCAGUAUGCGGCCCUCAGUGGAAAUAGUUACAGUGUGUAUAGUUUAUGUUUCAUUUUGACAAAAGAGCCGACAUGUCCAAAAGUGUGGCCCGGGGGCCAUUUGUAGCCCAUGGCACAUUGUCAAAAAUGAAAUUUGAACCAAAAAACCCAGCAAAAAUGGGAUAAACAGAGCAAAAAAGAGGAAAAAAAAUGAAAUUUUGAUACUAAUAAAAACUUUUUGGGGCCUUUUUGCAAAAUUUUAAAUAUAUAUAUACAAAUAUUUGAAAAUCUAUACAAAAAAAUGUAUAUAAAAAUAUACAGAAAGUGGCCCCUAGCACAUUGGGCCUAACAUCCCAGUAGGGAGGAAAAAAAGUAAAAUGUAGUGCAAAACUUCAUAUAAUAAUUAUUUAUCUUCAAAGCCAGGCGAGGUACAAUUUGCAAACGAAGCACACAGUUAAUAAUGCGUCCCAUCCCAAAAUAAAUGUACCCGAAGAAAGCUGAAUAUAACUGAAGCGUCAGCGUCCCCUUCCCCCCUCUGCCGCCAAACGGCCGGCAACGCUUUCAUCGAUUGAUUGACUGAUGAUGAGCUUUUUUUUUCCCGCCGAAGGGAAAGCGGUGUCGUGUUUCAAUGCUUGUGCGCUUUCGCUUUCAAAUCGCGUGCCUUCCUGCAACGGAAAGCGCGCACACGUGAGCGCUAACGCGAUGACACAAUGACAACAUCACGGCGAAUAUUCCCGAUCGCACGUCUGGUUUUACUUGACGGGUUUACGCCGUAAAAAGACUCGUGUCCUUUGAAACAGAGCGCUUGCGUGGCUGCGUGGCACACACCGCUCACAAAUACUUCAUAAAAUACUUGAUAUAACACAAAGCCAAGGUGUUUUGUUCCAAUAGCUUAGCACAUAUCGACUGGUUUUAGCAUCUUUAUCUUUUAGCAUCUGUGUGCACAUGUGGUGCUGAUGAAUCCUUUUCCUGGGAGUAAAAAUAACGUCUUUUAGUUUUAAUGAACACUGACAAUGUGCAAUAACAGCAAUAAAUGUUUGAGGCAAAGGGGAAGAAAUGCCAAAAAGAAGGAUGCAAUGAAAUAGAAGCUCAUAUAGAAGGGGGCACGCUUUUUCCAUGCUGAGGUCAAGGGGAGUCUGUAAUGUUCCGGGUCUUGCUCGGGUCGCCGUGGGAUGGAUGUGGCGGUCUUCUUCUGAAUACACUUCACAGCAGCAUGGUUGUCGUCACAAGCUUGCUUCUCACAGUCAUGGGACAUCAUGACAAACAUGGUGGAAUGUGUGCAGUAUACAGUAUUUCUUUCUGCUAAAUAAAAUGUUGAUUGGUUUAGGGCAGGGGUGUCCAAAGUACGGCCCCCGGGGGCCAUUGGCGGCACGCGGGUGUGAUUUUAUCGGCCCGCCGCAGUCUAAAAAUGUAAUUUAACAAGGAAACUUUUAAAAAACCCAACAACAACGGCAGUAAAAAUGGGAAAAUUAAUCAAAAGUCAAAAUAUUGAGAGAAGAGUUGUAAUCUAGCACGGAAAAAAAGUCAUCAUUUCUCAACAAUAAAGUAAAAGUCUGAGGAAAAAUGACAUUUUAGCAGCAUGACAUUGAAACAUAACUUUUAUUUUUUUUUCUACGUCAAAAACAAUAAAUAAAGUUGCAAUUUUUGGAAACUUAGGUUGGGGGAAAAUUUAUAACAUGCGAAUAAAGUCAAACUAUCAUGAAAAUUAUACCAAAAACAGCAGUAAUUUUACCAAAGUAAAGUCAAAAUAUUAAGAGGAAAAAAUAAAAUUGGAAUUUGAAACAAGUUGCAAUUUUAUGAGAAUAAACUUGUUAAAUGAGGAAAAAUAUAAUUUUAGUAUGAAUGUUGAAAUAAAGGAAACAUACAUUAUUUUUUUUAAAGAUAUAAAGUUAUAAUUACGAGAAGAAAAUUUACAAGAGGAAACUUGAAAGAAAAUAGUUGGAAAAUUAAAAAAAUCAGCAGAAUUGUAAAAAACAGCUGUAAGUUUACGGGAAUAAAGUCAAAAUAUUAGUCAUAGUCGAAUGAAGCACAGAAGUGCCAAUUUUUACAGGAAUAAACUUGUAUUAUUAUUUUAAAAAACUAAUUUUGGUAGCAUUUCACCUACAUUACAGAUAUGUUACAAAGGUGAAAUGCAGUUUUUCUUGAACUACAGUACAUAUCGCUUCUUAGCACAUCUCAAUGUGUUGGCUUACAAAAUAUCAAAGUGGCCCUUGCAUCCUUUCAUUUUUCAGUAUGUGGCCUUUGCUGGAAAAAGUUUGGACACCCCUGGCUUAGGGUUUCACAUGAGCGGAUGACGCCUAAGCAUGUUUGCGGUCGUUAGCUUCGUGAACGUAUCUGCGCUGUUUGCACAAAAAGCAAGUCUGUGGUGAAAUCUUCUCCCAUUAUUUCUUUUUAUGUGAUGUUUUUGGCUGUUCUCCGCGCUUAACGGUGGGCCAUUAUGGCCUAAUGAGAGGGGCUGGGGGUCUUUGCAAUGAGCCCGCAGACGGAGAAGCUGCAACAAAGGCACCGCACUUUUAAUGAGCCUUGCUUGGAAGCCGCAGGUAAGCAACAUGACGAGCCACCAGAGACUAGCGUUACCGCACGUAGCCUCGUAAAUGUCAUCUAUCUGAUGGCGUAUGAAUAAUAGCAGAGGAAAUAUGACCGUUCAAGCGCGCUCAUGUAUGUGUUGAUAAUCCUCUUAGGAGCCAUGCUUUGACGUCCAUUGAUUUGAUUAAAUUCACACACAAGUUAAUCCCGGAGGUCACGGUGAAUGAUUGUCUGGUCUGCGUCACACCGAAUCAUCACAAAAGAUGGAGCACGGAGUUUAAAAGCGCUUCACGCUGCCACUUGUUCUCCAAUCCCUUCACUUUAGCCUUUUACUUGAUGCACGGGCACGAACACGUUAUCAAAACCUCUUCAAAGUUUAUUUGCCAAAAUGUCAAACUAAUCCUGGGUGUCCCGCUACAUAAUGGACAACAGUCACAGUGCCACUUUCUUCCCUCAUGUAGCGACAGUGCAGCACAUUGAACCACAGACUUAUUGGAUUCACGUAUCGUGUGCGGGUGGGGUUCCCAUUUUGCGCUCUUAUUACUGUUACUUUAUGGACAUCCGCUGUCCAUCUCACGUCCACAGAGACACGAAGAGACAGUCAUGAAGUCAGGAGGACCUCAGAGGGACACAAGCAAACACUUUUGACUUUAUUGCCAACGUCAAUGUCCAUCCAUCCGUUUUCUAUGCCGCUUAUCCUCCGACACCAAUGUUUAUUAUUUAAUUCUAUAUUCGUCUUUAUUUCAAUAUUAUUUUUUUUAAUUCACUUUCUGGUGGCCGUAAAUCAAGCUUGCUAAAAAAAAAAGGAAAAAAAAAAAAGAGUGAGAUUUUGCUUUUUUUUGCUGUCCACUGCCAAAAAAAGCAAAAAAAAAAAAAAAAAAA
This is an RNA transcript of Dunckerocampus dactyliophorus (ringed pipefish), 8872 nucleotides long. It is a transcript of the gene named solute carrier family 41 member 2b, with no coding region annotated. Lineage: Eukaryota; Metazoa; Chordata; Actinopteri; Syngnathiformes; Syngnathidae. The record is from RefSeq and is a predicted model, not a curated record. The transcript is spliced from 12 exons.